This 434-nucleotide ribosomal RNA is filed under the name uncultured bacterium. Its description in RNAcentral is "partial small subunit ribosomal RNA". It matches the Rfam family "Bacterial small subunit ribosomal RNA", at positions 371 to 807 of the family's 1533-position model. The record is from RNAcentral.
AUGGGGGACCCUGAUGCCGCCACCCCCGUGANCGAAGAAGUAUUNCUUGUAUGUAAACCNCUAUCACCAGGGAAGAUAAUGNCGGUCCCUGNCUAAGAACCCCCGGCUAACUNCGUGCCACCACCCNCGGUAAUNCGUAGGGGGCAAGCGUUAUCCGGAUUUNCUGGGUGUAAAGGGAGCGUAGACGGCAAGGCCAAGUCUGAUGUGAAANCCCAGGGCCUUACCCCUGGGACCUGCCAUUGGAAACUGUCCUGGCCUCGAGUGCCAGGAGAGGAAAGCCGGAAUUCCCUAGUGUAGCCGGUGAAAUGCGUAGAUAUUAGGAGGANCNCCAGUGGCCGAAGGCGGCCUUACUGGACGGUANCUGACCGUUGAGGCUCGAAAGCCGUGGGGAGCCAAACAGGAUUAGAUACCCUGGUAGNCCAAGGGCCGAAUUC